GGCUCUGUGGCGCAAUGGAUAGCGCAUUGGACUUCUAGGUGAAAGAAGAAAUUCAAAGGUUGUUGGUUCGAAUCCCAUCAGAGUCG
RNAcentral lists this transfer RNA (86 nucleotides) under Xenopus tropicalis (tropical clawed frog). Its description in RNAcentral is "Xenopus (Silurana) tropicalis (western clawed frog) tRNA". It matches the Rfam family "tRNA". Rfam says of the family: Transfer RNA (tRNA) molecules are approximately 80 nucleotides in length. Their secondary structure includes four short double-helical elements and three loops (D, anti-codon, and T loops). The record is from Rfam by way of RNAcentral. Lineage: Eukaryota; Metazoa; Chordata; Amphibia; Anura; Pipidae.